Molecule: ribosomal RNA, 415 nt
Filed under: uncultured microorganism
Description: bacterial SSU rRNA
Rfam family: Archaeal small subunit ribosomal RNA
Source: RNAcentral
GCGCAGCAGGCGAGAAACCUUCGCAAUGCGGGAAACCGCGACGAGGGGACUCCCAGUGCCUACGCUCAGCGUAGGCUGUUCCCGAGCCUAGAAAGCUCGGGGAGUAAGGGCUGGGUAAGACGGGUGCCAGCCGCCGCGGUAAUACCCGCAGCCCGAGUGGUGGCCACUAUUAUUGGGCCUAAAGCGUCCGUAGCCGGCCCGGUAAAUGCCUGGGUAAAUCGUGAGGCCUAACCUCACGAAUUCCGGGUAGACUGCCGGGCUAGGGACCGGAGGAGGGGAGAGGGGUACUCCAGGGGUAGGGGUGAAAUCCUGUAAUCCCUGGAGGACCACCGGUGGCGAAGGCGCUCUCCUAGGACGGGUCCGACGGUGAGGGACGAAAGCCAGGGGAGCGCACCGGAUUAGAUACCCCUGUAGU